AUUGCCCUAGUAACGGCGAGUGAAGCGGCAACAGCUCAAAUUUGAAAUCUGGCCCUCGGGUCCGAGUUGUAAUUUGUAGAGGAUGCUUUUGGUGCGGUGCCUUCCGAGUUCCCUGGAACGGGACGCCAUAGAGGGUGAGAGCCCCGUCUGGUUGGACACCAAGCCUCUGUAAAGCUCCUUCGACGAGUCGAGUAGUUUGGGAAUGCUGCUCUAAAUGGGAGGUAUAUGUCUUCUAAAGCUAAAUACCGGCCAGAGACCGAUAGCGCACAAGUAGAGUGAUCGAAAGAUGAAAAGCACUUUGAAAAGAGGGUUAAAUAGUACGUGAAAUUGUUGAAAGGGAAGCGCUUGUGACCAGACUUGAGCCCGGUUAAUCAUCCAGCCUUCUGGCUGGUGCACUUGGCCGGCUCAGGCCAGCAUCAGUUCGGCGUGGGGGAUAAAGACUUCGGGAAUGUGGCUCCUUCGGGAGUGUUAUAGCCCGUUGUGUAAUACCCUGUACUGGACUGAGGUUCGCGCAUCUGCAAGGAUGCUGGCGUAAUGGUCAUCAGCGACCCGUCUUGAAACACGGACCAAGGAGUCGUCCUCGUAUGCGAGUGUUCGGGUGUCAAACCCCUACGCGUAAUGAAAGUGAACGCAGGUGAGAGCUUCGGCGCAUCAUCGACCGAUCCUGAUGUUCUCGGACGGAUUUGAGUAAGAGCAUACGGGGCCGGACCCGAAAGAAGGUGAACUAUGCCUGUAUAGGGUGAAGCCAGAGGAAACUCUGGUGGAGGCUCGCAGCGGUUCUGACGUGCAAAUCGAUCGUCAAAUAUGGGCAUGGGGCGAAAGACUAAU
Molecule: ribosomal RNA, 828 nt
Filed under: Cosmospora coccinea
Lineage: Eukaryota; Fungi; Ascomycota; Sordariomycetes; Hypocreales; Nectriaceae
Description: eukaryotic LSU rRNA
Rfam family: Eukaryotic large subunit ribosomal RNA
Source: RNAcentral